RNAcentral lists this ribosomal RNA (2905 nucleotides) under Escherichia coli. RNAcentral's name for it is "23S ribosomal RNA". It matches the Rfam family "Bacterial large subunit ribosomal RNA". Lineage: Bacteria; Pseudomonadati; Pseudomonadota; Gammaproteobacteria; Enterobacterales; Enterobacteriaceae. The record is from RNAcentral.
GGUUAAGCGACUAAGCGUACACGGUGGAUGCCCUGGCAGUCAGAGGCGAUGAAGGACGUGCUAAUCUGCGAUAAGCGUCGGUAAGGUGAUAUGAACCGUUAUAACCGGCGAUUUCCGAAUGGGGAAACCCAGUGUGAUUCGUCACACUAUCAUUAACUGAAUCCAUAGGUUAAUGAGGCGAACCGGGGGAACUGAAACAUCUAAGUACCCCGAGGAAAAGAAAUCAACCGAGAUUCCCCCAGUAGCGGCGAGCGAACGGGGAGGAGCCCAGAGCCUGAAUCAGUGUGUGUGUUAGUGGAAGCGUCUGGAAAGGCGCGCGAUACAGGGUGACAGCCCCGUACACAAAAAUGCACAUGCUGUGAGCUCGAUGAGUAGGGCGGGACACGUGGUAUCCUGUCUGAAUAUGGGGGGACCAUCCUCCAAGGCUAAAUACUCCUGACUGACCGAUAGUGAACCAGUACCGUGAGGGAAAGGCGAAAAGAACCCCGGCGAGGGGAGUGAAAAAGAACCUGAAACCGUGUACGUACAAGCAGUGGGAGCCUCUUUAUGGGGUGACUGCGUACCUUUUGUAUAAUGGGUCAGCGACUUAUAUUCUGUAGCAAGGUUAACCGAAUAGGGGAGCCGAAGGGAAACCGAGUCUUAACUGGGCGUUAAGUUGCAGGGUAUAGACCCGAAACCCGGUGAUCUAGCCAUGGGCAGGUUGAAGGUUGGGUAACACUAACUGGAGGACCGAACCGACUAAUGUUGAAAAAUUAGCGGAUGACUUGUGGCUGGGGGUGAAAGGCCAAUCAAACCGGGAGAUAGCUGGUUCUCCCCGAAAGCUAUUUAGGUAGCGCCUCGUGAAUUCAUCUCCGGGGGUAGAGCACUGUUUCGGCAAGGGGGUCAUCCCGACUUACCAACCCGAUGCAAACUGCGAAUACCGGAGAAUGUUAUCACGGGAGACACACGGCGGGUGCUAACGUCCGUCGUGAAGAGGGAAACAACCCAGACCGCCAGCUAAGGUCCCAAAGUCAUGGUUAAGUGGGAAACGAUGUGGGAAGGCCCAGACAGCCAGGAUGUUGGCUUAGAAGCAGCCAUCAUUUAAAGAAAGCGUAAUAGCUCACUGGUCGAGUCGGCCUGCGCGGAAGAUGUAACGGGGCUAAACCAUGCACCGAAGCUGCGGCAGCGACGCUUAUGCGUUGUUGGGUAGGGGAGCGUUCUGUAAGCCUGCGAAGGUGUACUGUGAGGUAUGCUGGAGGUAUCAGAAGUGCGAAUGCUGACAUAAGUAACGAUAAAGCGGGUGAAAAGCCCGCUCGCCGGAAGACCAAGGGUUCCUGUCCAACGUUAAUCGGGGCAGGGUGAGUCGACCCCUAAGGCGAGGCCGAAAGGCGUAGUCGAUGGGAAACAGGUUAAUAUUCCUGUACUUGGUGUUACUGCGAAGGGGGGACGGAGAAGGCUAUGUUGGCCGGGCGACGGUUGUCCCGGUUUAAGCGUGUAGGCUGGUUUUCCAGGCAAAUCCGGAAAAUCAAGGCUGAGGCGUGAUGACGAGGCACUACGGUGCUGAAGCAACAAAUGCCCUGCUUCCAGGAAAAGCCUCUAAGCAUCAGGUAACAUCAAAUCGUACCCCAAACCGACACAGGUGGUCAGGUAGAGAAUACCAAGGCGCUUGAGAGAACUCGGGUGAAGGAACUAGGCAAAAUGGUGCCGUAACUUCGGGAGAAGGCACGCUGAUACGUAGGUGAAGCGACUUGCUCGUGGAGCUGAAAUCAGUCGAAGAUACCAGCUGGCUGCAACUGUUUAUUAAAAACACAGCACUGUGCAAACACGAAAGUGGACGUAUACGGUGUGACGCCUGCCCGGUGCCGGAAGGUUAAUUGAUGGGGUUAGCGGUAACGCGAAGCUCUUGAUCGAAGCCCCGGUAAACGGCGGCCGUAACUAUAACGGUCCUAAGGUAGCGAAAUUCCUUGUCGGGUAAGUUCCGACCUGCACGAAUGGCGUAAUGAUGGCCAGGCUGUCUCCACCCGAGACUCAGUGAAAUUGAACUCGCUGUGAAGAUGCAGUGUACCCGCGGCAAGACGGAAAGACCCCGUGAACCUUUACUAUAGCUUGACACUGAACAUUGAGCCUUGAUGUGUAGGAUAGGUGGGAGGCUUUGAAGUGUGGACGCCAGUCUGCAUGGAGCCGACCUUGAAAUACCACCCUUUAAUGUUUGAUGUUCUAACGUUGGCCCCUAAUCGGGGUUGCGGACAGUGUCUGGUGGGUAGUUUGACUGGGGCGGUCUCCUCCUAAAGAGUAACGGAGGAGCACGAAGGUUGGCUAAUCCUGGUCGGACAUCAGGAGGUUAGUGCAAUGGCAUAAGCCAGCUUGACUGCGAGCGUGACGGCGCGAGCAGGUGCGAAAGCAGGUCAUAGUGAUCCGGUGGUUCUGAAUGGAAGGGCCAUCGCUCAACGGAUAAAAGGUACUCCGGGGAUAACAGGCUGAUACCGCCCAAGAGUUCAUAUCGACGGCGGUGUUUGGCACCUCGAUGUCGGCUCAUCACAUCCUGGGGCUGAAGUAGGUCCCAAGGGUAUGGCUGUUCGCCAUUUAAAGUGGUACGCGAGCUGGGUUUAGAACGUCGUGAGACAGUUCGGUCCCUAUCUGCCGUGGGCGCUGGAGAACUGAGGGGGGCUGCUCCUAGUACGAGAGGACCGGAGUGGACGCAUCACUGGUGUUCGGGUUGUCAUGCCAAUGGCACUGCCCGGUAGCUAAAUGCGGAAGAGAUAAGUGCUGAAAGCAUCUAAGCACGAAACUUGCCCCGAGAUGAGUUCUCCCUGACUCCCUGAGAGUCCUGAAGGAACGUUGAAGACGACGACGUUGAUAGGCCGGGUGUGUAAGCGCAGCGAUGCGUUGAGCUAACCGGUACUAAUGAACCGUGAGGCUUAACCUU